GACGGAGGUUGCAAGCGUUGUUCGGAAUUACUGGGCGUAAAGCGCGUGUAGGCGGCUUGCUAAGUCUGAUGUGAAAGCCCGGGGCUCACCCCCGGAAGUGCAUUGGAAACUGGCGAGCUCGAGUCCCGGAGAGGAGGGUGGAAUUCCUGGUGUAGCGGUGAAAUGCGUAGAUAUCAGGAGGAACACCGGUGGCGAAGGCGGCCCUCUGGACGGUGACUGACGCUGAGACGCGAAAGCGUGGGGAGCAAACAGG
RNAcentral lists this ribosomal RNA (253 nucleotides) under uncultured bacterium. Its description in RNAcentral is "partial 16S ribosomal RNA". It matches the Rfam family "Bacterial small subunit ribosomal RNA", at positions 524 to 776 of the family's 1533-position model. The record is from RNAcentral.